UACGGAGGGUGCAAGCGUUAUCCGGAUUCACUGGGUUUAAAGGGUGCGUAGGUGGGAAUGUAAGUCAGUGGUGAAAUCUCCGUGCUUAACAUGGAAACUGCCAUUGAUACUAUGUUUCUUGAAUUUUCUGGAGGUAAGCGGAAUAUGUCAUGUAGCGGUGAAAUGCUUAGAUAUGACAUAGAACACCAAUUGCGAAGGCAGCUUACUACACAAAUAUUGACGCUGAGGCACGAAAGCGUGGGGAUCAAACAGG
RNAcentral lists this ribosomal RNA (253 nucleotides) under uncultured bacterium. RNAcentral's name for it is "partial 16S ribosomal RNA". It matches the Rfam family "Bacterial small subunit ribosomal RNA", at positions 524 to 776 of the family's 1533-position model. The record is from RNAcentral.